AAAUGAAGAUUUUGUGACUGAGUGGCGGACGGGUGAGUAACGCGUGGGUAACCUGCCUCAUACAGGGGGAUAACAGUUGGAAACGACUGCUAAUACCGCAUAAGCGCACAGGAUUGCAUGAUACAGUGUGAAAAACUCCGGUGGUAUAAGAUGGACCCGCGUCUGAUUAGCUUGUUGGUGAGAUAACAGCCCACCAAGGCGACGAUCAGUAGCCGACCUGAGAGGGUGAUCGGCCACAUUGGGACUGAGAUACGGCCCAAACUCC
Molecule: ribosomal RNA, 265 nt
Filed under: uncultured Lachnospiraceae bacterium
Lineage: Bacteria; Bacillati; Bacillota; Clostridia; Lachnospirales; Lachnospiraceae
Description: partial 16S ribosomal RNA
Rfam family: Bacterial small subunit ribosomal RNA
Source: RNAcentral